UUUUUAAACGAGAGUUUGAUCCUGGCUCAGGAUGAACGCUGGCGGCGUGCUUAACACAUGCAAGUCGAGCGAAGCACUUAAGAAUGAUUCUUCGGAUGAAUUCUUUUGUGACUGAGCGGCGGACGGGUGAGUAACGCGUGGGUAACCUGCCUCAU
This 155-nucleotide ribosomal RNA is filed under the name Dorea formicigenerans. RNAcentral's name for it is "partial 16S ribosomal RNA". It matches the Rfam family "Bacterial small subunit ribosomal RNA", at positions 1 to 134 of the family's 1533-position model. Lineage: Bacteria; Bacillati; Bacillota; Clostridia; Lachnospirales; Lachnospiraceae. The record is from RNAcentral.